This is a non-coding RNA of Paramuricea clavata, 257 nucleotides long. The record is from the annotation of a GenBank genome assembly. NCBI's taxonomy places the organism in Eukaryota, Metazoa, Cnidaria, Anthozoa, Malacalcyonacea, Plexauridae.
CGGACUUGUUGAAACAACCUUGUAACAAGCCUGAUAAUAUCAACAAGGUUGUUACAAACUUGUUACAAACUUGUUGACUGUUACUAAAUACAAGAUGUGAGAUUUUGCUUGUGUAUACGAUUCGCGUGAACCACGCGUGGCGAUCACCCAAACAAGAUGGCCGACAAAAUGUACAAAUUUUGAAGAAUGUUUACCAUCAAUAUUUCCACAGUUAAUAAAAAUAUUUGCGGAAAAUAAAACAUCGUAUUCACGAAGGU